GAGUAACACGUGGGUAACCUACCUAUAAGACUGGAAUAACUUCGGGAAACCGGAGCUAAUGCCGGAUAACAUUUGGAACCGCAUGGUUCUAAAGUAAAAGAUGGUUUUGCUAUCACUUAUAGAUGGACCCGCGCCGUAUUAGCUAGUUGGUAAGGUAACGGCUUACCAAGGCAACGAUACGUAGCCGACCUGAGAGGGUGAUCGGCCACACUGGAACUGAGACACGGUCCAGACUCCUACGGGAGGCAGCAGUAGGGAAUCUUCCGCAAUGGACGAAAGUCUGACGGAGCAACGCCGCGUGAGUGAUGAAGGUUUUCGGAUCGUAAAACUCUGUUAUUAGGGAAGAACAAAUGUGUAAGUAACUGUGCACAUCUUGACGGUACCUAAUCAGAAAGCCACGGCUAACUACGUGCCAGCAGCCGCGGUAAUACGUAGGUGGCAAGCGUUAUCCGGAAUUAUUGGGCGUAAAGCGCGCGUAGGCGGUUUCUUAAGUCUGAUGUGAAAGCCCACGGCUCAACCGUGGAGGGUCAUUGGAAACUGGGAAACUUGAGUACAGAAGAGGAAAGUGGAAUUCCAUGUGUAGCGGUGAAAUGCGCAGAGAUAUGGAGGAACACCAGUGGCGAAGGCGACUUUCUGGUCUGUAACUGACGCUGAUGUGCGAAAGCGUGGGGAUCAAACAGGAUUAGAUACCCUGGUAGUCCACGCCGUAAA
RNAcentral lists this ribosomal RNA (711 nucleotides) under Staphylococcus sp. Its description in RNAcentral is "bacterial SSU rRNA". It matches the Rfam family "Bacterial small subunit ribosomal RNA", at positions 108 to 806 of the family's 1533-position model. Lineage: Bacteria; Bacillati; Bacillota; Bacilli; Caryophanales; Staphylococcaceae. The record is from RNAcentral.